UUUCCAUCACAAAAAUAUCUCAUUUUCAAAACAGUCCAACACCUGGACAAUUCUUUUCAUAAAACAUUUUACUCGAUUGGAGUGUAUAACGCUCUGGAUUGCACGGGUGAUCAGCCACGUACAAUCCCCAUACCGGACUUUACAGUCCCUCUGGACGUGAAUAGGGUACCCGGAAAGACAUUAUAUUUAGUCUUUCAAAUGCCAGCCCUCACUGGUCUUCAUAAUGUGCCAGCCCUCACUGGUCUUCAUAAUCAAUUAGCUGGACCGGCGUUACUCGGCCACUUACGCCUCCAAUCUAUAGAAUUCCGUGGAAAACCAUUAAAUUGGAAAAACUUUCUUCUUUAAAAGAAAUAUCUUUCUUUUUUCAAAAACCUUCUUAACCUUUCAAAUCAUUAGGACAUUCGCAAUCACUUGCAAGUCUAANNNNN
Molecule: long non-coding RNA, 428 nt
Filed under: Daucus carota (carrot)
Lineage: Eukaryota; Viridiplantae; Streptophyta; Magnoliopsida; Apiales; Apiaceae
Description: long non-coding RNA (DCAR_LNC003748)
Source: RNAcentral